CGGGCAUAACGUCAAAAAUAUGCCUUCCUACUCAGAUGAAUUAGUUCUGUAGGUGUGGAGAAAAUUUUGGAUCUGGACCAAAUUUUAGUAUUAAAAAUAUUUUUUUUUUAAUAAACUCAACAAACUAUUUUUACGGUGUGUAUUGAAGUAUAAAAUCGUACUUUAAUCUCAAUCUUAGCACAAGUUCUGCCGGGUGAAUUCCGUUUGUGAGCGUUUGGCGAUUUUACAAUAUGAUAAAUCCCUUAUUUGUUUUUUAUUAGUAUACUUAUUCUGAAAAAAGAGUGUUCUACAUGACCAAAAAUAGGCGAUAGAAAAAUUUAAAAAGAUACACAAUUUAUUUUGAGUUUUUAUGUCCCAACACCUUUUCUAAAAAUAAAAAAAAUAAAUUCACAAAUACUGAUACAAAAUAUAUAGUUAAUCAUAAUGAUGACAUGAUAAAGCUAAAAUUGAAAAUGGUUAAACACAGGGUAAAGGGUUCUGCGAAACCGUAUUCCUCGCCUGAUAUUGCUGCUGUCAGUAUAAAAAUAUAAUAUUG
RNAcentral lists this long non-coding RNA (535 nucleotides) under Mytilus galloprovincialis (Mediterranean mussel). The record is from RNAcentral. Lineage: Eukaryota; Metazoa; Mollusca; Bivalvia; Mytilida; Mytilidae.